CCCAAAAGCGGAGGAAUAGAAACCAACAGGGAUUGCCUUAGUAACGGCGAGUGAAGCGGCAAGAGCUCAAAUUUGAAAUCUAGCACUUUCAGUGUUCGAGUUGUAAUUUGAAGAAGGUAUCUUUGGAGUUGGCCCCUGUCUAUGUUCCUUGGAACAGGACGUCACAGAGGGUGAGAAUCCCGUGCGAUGGGGAGACCAAUUCUUUGUAAAGUUCCUUCGAAGAGUCGAGUUGUUUGGGAAUGCAGCUCUAAGUGGGUGGUAAAUUCCAUCUAAAGCUAAAUAUUGGCGAGAGACCGAUAGCGAACAAGUACAGUGAUGGAAAGAUGAAAAGAACUUUGAAAAGAGAGUGAAAAAGUACGUGAAAUUGUUGAAAGGGAAGGGCUUUUGAUCAGACUUGGUGUUUAACGAUCUCUUCUCCUUGUGGGAGGGGCUCUUGUUUUAUACUGGGCCAGCAUCGGUUUGGAUGGCAGGAUAAUGACAUUGGAACGUGGCUUCAUUCGUGAAGUGUUAUAGCCUUUGUUGAUACUGCCUAUCUAGACCGAGGACUGCGUCUUGACUAGGAUGCUGCGUGUCCUGGCGUG
Molecule: ribosomal RNA, 581 nt
Filed under: Nakazawaea molendinolei
Lineage: Eukaryota; Fungi; Ascomycota; Pichiomycetes; Alaninales; Pachysolenaceae
Description: eukaryotic LSU rRNA
Rfam family: Eukaryotic large subunit ribosomal RNA
Source: RNAcentral